UCCUGUGUUUGCGAUUAUCGUACAGGUGUAAUUCCCGGAGUCAGUGCGAUGAGAGUCUGUUAUCUGUAGACUGAGUGGCAUUCCGCGCUCCAAGAAGGAAAUUCUAGAAUCUGUGAAAUUUGUAAAUAUUGAAGGAAGUGUCGGGUUUAUGGAAUUAUUAUUUAUAAAUGAAUGAAGCAGAAUGUGAGUGUGAUUUUCUUUUCUCCAGACGAUUUGCUUAAUAUCUUCUGGUUUUAUUCCCUGUGUGCACCUCAUGGUCACCG
Non-coding RNA from Pelobates cultripes (western spadefoot toad), 263 nucleotides. Lineage: Eukaryota; Metazoa; Chordata; Amphibia; Anura; Pelobatidae. The record is from the annotation of a GenBank genome assembly.